This 207-nucleotide ribosomal RNA is filed under the name uncultured bacterium. RNAcentral's name for it is "partial 16S ribosomal RNA". It matches the Rfam family "Bacterial small subunit ribosomal RNA", at positions 568 to 774 of the family's 1533-position model. The record is from RNAcentral.
CGCGUAGGUGGUUUGAUAAGUCGGAUGUGAAAGCCCCGGGCUUAACCUGGGAAUUGCAUUCGAUACUGUCAGGCUAGAGUAUGGUAGAGGGAAGUGGAAUUCCAGGUGUAGCGGUGAAAUGCGUAGAUAUCUGGAGGAACAUCAGUGGCGAAGGCGACUUCCUGGACCAAUACUGACACUGAGGUGCGAAAGCGUGGGGAGCGAACA